UCGCCUGUUUAACAAAAACAUGUCUUUUUGAUUAUAAUUUAAAGUCUGGCCUGCCCUAUGNAUAAGUUAUUUUUAAAUGGCUGCGGUACUUUGACCGUGCAAAGGUAGCAUAAUAAUUAGUUUUUUAAUUGGGAACUGGUAUGAAAGGUCGCACGAGAAAAAGACUGUCUCAAUUUAAUUUUCAUUAGAAUUUUAUUUUUAAGUUAAAAAGCUUAAAUAUUUUUAAAAGACGAGAAGACCCUAUAGAGUUUUAUAUAAAUUAAUAUUUUUGAAAGUUAAAGAAUUUUAAAUUUAAUUAUAUUAAUUUAUAUUUGGUUGGGGCAAUUAAAAAAUUAAAAUAAUUUUUUUUAAAUUAAAACAUUAAUGUAUGAUUAAGUGAUCCAUUAUUUAUGAUUAAAAGAUUAAAUUACCUUAGGGAUAACAGCGUAAUUUUUUUUAGAGUUCUUAUCGAAAAAAAAGUUUGCGACCUCGAUGUUGGAUUAAAA
Molecule: ribosomal RNA, 485 nt
Filed under: Megatharsis buckleyi
Lineage: Eukaryota; Metazoa; Arthropoda; Insecta; Coleoptera; Scarabaeidae
Description: partial large subunit ribosomal RNA
Rfam family: Bacterial large subunit ribosomal RNA
Source: RNAcentral